GUGCUCGUUUCGGCAGCACAUCUACUAAAACUGGACUGAUACAGAGAAGAUCAGCCUGGCCCUUCGCAAGGAUGACAGAUUUGUGAAGCGUUCCAUGUUAAU
Myotis myotis is the source of this 102-nucleotide small nuclear RNA. The record is from RefSeq and is a predicted model, not a curated record. NCBI's taxonomy places the organism in Eukaryota, Metazoa, Chordata, Mammalia, Chiroptera, Vespertilionidae.